AUUUAGGUCAGCUAAAAAAGCUAAUGAGUUCAUAUCUCAUAAAUGAAUUAAUUUCUAUUUUGAAUG
Molecule: transfer RNA, 66 nt
Filed under: Lycosa grahami
Lineage: Eukaryota; Metazoa; Arthropoda; Arachnida; Araneae; Lycosidae
Description: tRNA-Met
Source: RNAcentral